Molecule: ribosomal RNA, 253 nt
Filed under: uncultured bacterium
Lineage: Bacteria
Description: partial 16S ribosomal RNA
Rfam family: Bacterial small subunit ribosomal RNA
Source: RNAcentral
UACGUAGGGGGCAAGCGUUGUCCGGAAUCAUUGGGCGUAAAGCGCGUGUAGGCGGCUGAGUAAGUCUGCUCUGAAAGCCCGGGGCUCAACCCCGGGAGGCGGGUGGAUACUGCUCAGCUCGAGUCCGGAAGAGGAGUGUGGAAUUCCUGGUGUAGCGGUGAAAUGCGCAGAUAUCAGGAGGAACACCGGUGGCGAAGGCAGAUCUCUGGGCCGUAACUGACGCUGAGGAGCGAAAGCAUGGGGAGCGAACAGG